This 253-nucleotide ribosomal RNA is filed under the name uncultured bacterium. RNAcentral describes it as "partial 16S ribosomal RNA". It matches the Rfam family "Bacterial small subunit ribosomal RNA", at positions 524 to 776 of the family's 1533-position model. The record is from RNAcentral.
UACGAAGGGGGCUAGCGUUGUUCGGAAUUACUGGGCGUAAAGCGCAUGUAGGCGGCGAUUCAAGUCGGGGGUGAAAUCCUGGAGCUCAACUCCAGAACUGCCUUUGAUACUGAGGAUCUUGAGUACGGGAGAGGUGAGUGGAACUGCGAGUGUAGAGGUGAAAUUCGUAGAUAUUCGCAAGAACACCAGUGGCGAAGGCGGCUCACUGGCCCGUAACUGACGCCGAGGCACGAAAGCGUGGGGAGCAAACAGG